GGUUAAGCGACUAAGCGUACACGGUGGAUGCCCUGGCAGUCAGAGGCGAUGAAGGACGUGCUAAUCUGCGAAAAGCGUCGGUAAGGUGAUAUGAACCGUUACAGCCGGCGAUGUCCGAAUGGGGAAACCCAGUGCAAUUCGUUGCACUAUCGUUAACUGAAUACAUAGGUUAACGAGGCGAACCGGGGGAACUGAAACAUCUAAGUACCCCGAGGAAAAGAAAUCAACCGAGAUUCCCCCAGUAGCGGCGAGCGAACGGGGAGCAGCCCAGAGUCUGAAUCAGCUUGUGUGUUAGUGGAACGGUCUGGAAAGUCCGACGGUACAGGGUGAUAGUCCCGUACACCAAAAUGCACAGGUUGUGAACUCGAAGAGUAGGGCGGGACACGUGGUAUCCUGUCUGAAUAUGGGGGGACCAUCCUCCAAGGCUAAAUACUCCUGACUGACCGAUAGUGAACCAGUACCGUGAGGGAAAGGCGAAAAGAACCCCGGCGAGGGGAGUGAAAAAGAACCUGAAACCGUGUACGUACAAGCAGUGGGAGCACCUUCGGGUGUGACUGCGUACCUUUUGUAUAAUGGGUCAGCGACUUAUAUUCUGUAGCAAGGUUAACCGUAUAGGGGAGCCGCAGGGAAACCGAGUCUUAACUGGGCGUUAAGUUGCAGGGUAUAGACCCGAAACCCGGUGAUCUAGCCAUGGGCAGGUUGAAGGUUGGGUAACACUAACUGGAGGACCGAACCGACUAAUGUUGAAAAAUUAGCGGAUGACUUGUGGCUGGGGGUGAAAGGCCAAUCAAACCGGGAGAUAGCUGGUUCUCCCCGAAAGCUAUUUAGGUAGCGCCUCGUGAAUUCAUCUUCGGGGGUAGAGCACUGUUUCGGCUAGGGGGUCAUCCCGACUUACCAACCCGAUGCAAACUACGAAUACCGAAGAAUGUUAUCACGGGAGACACACGGCGGGUGCUAACGUCCGUCGUGAAGAGGGAAACAACCCAGACCGCCAGCUAAGGUCCCAAAGUCAUGGUUAAGUGGGAAACGAUGUGGGAAGGCACAGACAGCCAGGAUGUUGGCUUAGAAGCAGCCAUCAUUUAAAGAAAGCGUAAUAGCUCACUGGUCGAGUCGGCCUGCGCGGAAGAUGUAACGGGGCUAAACCAUGCACCGAAGCUGCGGCAGCGACACUAUGUGUUGUUGGGUAGGGGAGCGUUCUGUAAGCCUGCGAAGGUGACCUGUGAGGGUUGCUGGAGGUAUCAGAAGUGCGAAUGCUGACAUAAGUAACGAUAAAGCGGGUGAAAAGCCCGCUCGCCGGAAGACCAAGGGUUCCUGUCCAACGUUAAUCGGGGCAGGGUGAGUCGACCCCUAAGGCGAGGCCGAAAGGCGUAGUCGAUGGGAAACAGGUUAAUAUUCCUGUACUUGGUGUUACUGCGAAGGGGGGACGGAGAAGGCUAUGUUAGCCGGGCGACGGUUGUCCCGGUUUAAGCAUGUAGGCUGGUUGUCCAGGCAAAUCCGGAUAAUCAAGGCUGAGGUGUGAUGACGAGGCACUACGGUGCUGAAGUAACAAAUGCCCUGCUUCCAGGAAAAGCCUCUAAGCAUCAGGUAACAUCAAAUCGUACCCCAAACCGACACAGGUGGUCAGGUAGAGAAUACCAAGGCGCUUGAGAGAACUCGGGUGAAGGAACUAGGCAAAAUGGUGCCGUAACUUCGGGAGAAGGCACGCUGGUGUGUAGGUGAAGUCCCUGCGGAUGGAGCUGAGACCAGUCGAAGAUACCAGCUGGCUGCAACUGUUUAUUAAAAACACAGCACUGUGCAAACACGAAAGUGGACGUAUACGGUGUGACGCCUGCCCGGUGCCGGAAGGUUAAUUGAUGGGGUUAUCCGUAAGGAGAAGCUCUUGAUCGAAGCCCCGGUAAACGGCGGCCGUAACUAUAACGGUCCUAAGGUAGCGAAAUUCCUUGUCGGGUAAGUUCCGACCUGCACGAAUGGCGUAAUGAUGGCCAGGCUGUCUCCACCCGAGACUCAGUGAAAUUGAACUCGCUGUGAAGAUGCAGUGUACCCGCGGCAAGACGGAAAGACCCCGUGAACCUUUACUAUAGCUUGACACUGAACAUUGAGCCUUGAUGUGUAGGAUAGGUGGGAGGCUUUGAAGCGUGGACGCCAGUCUGCGUGGAGCCAACCUUGAAAUACCACCCUUUAAUGUUUGAUGUUCUAACGUUGGCCCCUUACCGGGGUUGCGGACAGUGUCUGGUGGGUAGUUUGACUGGGGCGGUCUCCUCCCAAAGCGUAACGGAGGAGCACGAAGGUUAGCUAAUCCUGGUCGGACAUCAGGAGGUUAGUGCAAUGGCAUAAGCUAGCUUGACUGCGAGCGUGACGGCGCGAGCAGGUGCGAAAGCAGGUCAUAGUGAUCCGGUGGUUCUGAAUGGAAGGGCCAUCGCUCAACGGAUAAAAGGUACUCCGGGGAUAACAGGCUGAUACCGCCCAAGAGUUCAUAUCGACGGCGGUGUUUGGCACCUCGAUGUCGGCUCAUCACAUCCUGGGGCUGAAGUAGGUCCCAAGGGUAUGGCUGUUCGCCAUUUAAAGUGGUACGCGAGCUGGGUUUAGAACGUCGUGAGACAGUUCGGUCCCUAUCUGCCGUGGGCGCUGGAGAAUUGAGGGGGGCUGCUCCUAGUACGAGAGGACCGGAGUGGACGCAUCACUGGUGUUCGGGUUGUCAUGCCAAUGGCACUGCCCGGUAGCUAAAUGCGGAAGAGAUAAGUGCUGAAAGCAUCUAAGCACGAAACUUGCCCCGAGAUGAGUUCUCCCUGAGACUUUAAGUCUCCUGAAGGAACGUUAAAGACGAUGACGUUGAUAGGCCGGGUGUGUAAGCGCAGCGAUGCGUUGAGCUAACCGGUACUAAUGAACCGUGAGGCUUAACCUU
Molecule: ribosomal RNA, 2902 nt
Filed under: Klebsiella pneumoniae
Lineage: Bacteria; Pseudomonadati; Pseudomonadota; Gammaproteobacteria; Enterobacterales; Enterobacteriaceae
Also listed under: 2 other names
Description: 23S ribosomal RNA
Rfam family: Bacterial large subunit ribosomal RNA
Source: RNAcentral